This 430-nucleotide ribosomal RNA is filed under the name bacterium. RNAcentral describes it as "partial 16S ribosomal RNA". It matches the Rfam family "Bacterial small subunit ribosomal RNA", at positions 355 to 776 of the family's 1533-position model. The record is from RNAcentral.
UGGGGAAUAUUGGACAAUGGGCGCAAGCCUGAUCCAGCCAUGCCGCGUGUGUGAAGAAGGCCUUUUGGUUGUAAAGCACUUUAAGCGAGGAGGAGGCUACUUGGAUUAAUACUCUAUGAUAGUGGACGUUACUCGCAGAAUAAGCACCGGCUAACUCUGUGCCAGCAGCCGCGGUAAUACAUAGGGUGCGAGCGUUAAUCGGAUUUACUGGGCGUAAAGCGUGCGUAGGCGGGUUCUUAAGUCGGAUGUGAAAUCCCUGAGCUUAACUUAGGAAUUGAAUGCGAUACUGGGAAGCUAGAGUAUGGGAGAGGAUGGUAGAAUUACAGGUGUAGCGGUGAAAUGCGUAGAGAGCUGGAGGAAUACCGAUGGCGAAGGCAGCCAUCUGGCCUAAUACUGACGCUGAGGUACGAAAGCAUGGGGAGCAAACAGG